CCUACGGGCGGCAGCAGUGAGGAAUAUUGGUCAAUGGACGAGAGUCUGAACCAGCCAAGUAGCGUGAAGGAUGACUGCCCUAUGGGUUGUAAACUUCUUUUAUAAAGGAAUAAAACGAGGCACGUGUGCCUUUUUGCAUGUACUUUAUGAAUAAGGAUCGGCUAACUCCGUGCCAGCAGCCGCGGUAAUACGGAGGAUCCGAGCGUUACCCGGAUUUAUUGGGUUUAAAGUGAGCGUAGAUGGGUUGUUAAGUCAGUUGUGAAAGUUUGCGGCUCAACCGGAAAAUUGCAAUUGAUACUGGCAGUCUGGAGUACAGUUGAGGUAGGCGGAAUUCGUGGUGUAGCGGUGAAAUGCGUAGAUAUCACGAAGAACCCCGAUUGCGAAGGCAGCUUACUAAACUGUGACUGACAUUGAUGCUCGAAAGUGUGGGUAUCAAACAUGAUUAGAUACCCUUGUAGUC
RNAcentral lists this ribosomal RNA (460 nucleotides) under uncultured bacterium. RNAcentral's name for it is "partial 16S ribosomal RNA". It matches the Rfam family "Bacterial small subunit ribosomal RNA", at positions 338 to 795 of the family's 1533-position model. The record is from RNAcentral.